RNAcentral lists this ribosomal RNA (315 nucleotides) under uncultured Malassezia. Its description in RNAcentral is "partial large subunit ribosomal RNA". It matches the Rfam family "Eukaryotic large subunit ribosomal RNA", at positions 40 to 350 of the family's 3401-position model. The record is from RNAcentral. Lineage: Eukaryota; Fungi; Basidiomycota; Malasseziomycetes; Malasseziales; Malasseziaceae.
AUAUCAUUAAGCGGAGGAAAAGAAACUAACAAGGAUUCCCCUAGUAACGGCGAGUGAAGCGGGAGGAGCUCAAAUUUGAAAGCUGGCGUCUCCGGCGUCCGCGUUGUAAUCUCGAGACGUGUUUUCCGUGCGGCACCAUGGACAAGUUCUCUGGAAAGGGACAUCGUAGAGGGUGAAAAUCCCGUACUUGCCGUGGCUGUACCGUGCUUUGCGAUACCCGCUCUAAGAGUCGAGUUGUUUGGGAAUGCAGCUCAAAAUGGGUGGUAUAUUUCAUCUAAAGCUAAAUAUUGGCCAGAGACCGAUAGCGCACAAGUA